CUCUUUAGCUUGGCAUUUGAAUCGGCUUUGCUGUUGCGAAGUAGAGUGGCGGCUUCGGCUGCCGAGGGUCGAUCCAUUUGGGAAAUGUUGUGUACUUCGGUAUGCAUCUCAAUUGGACCUGAUAUCAGGCAAGAUUACCCGCUGAACUUAAGCAUAUUAAUAAGCGGAGGAAAAGAAACUAACAAGGAUUCCCCUAGUAACGGCGAGUGAAGCGGGAAGAGCUCAAGCUUAAAAUCUCCGUGCAAGUUUUGCGCGGCGAAUUGUAGUCUAUAGAGGCGUGAUCAGUGUGGGCGCUUGGGGCAAGUUCCUUGGAAGAGGACAGCAUGGAGGGUGAUACUCCCGUUCAUCCCUGAGUUGCUCGUGCGUACGAUCCGUUUUCUUUGAGUCGCGUUGUUUGGGAAUGCAGCGCAAAGUAGGUGGUAAAUUCCAUCUAAAGCUAAAUAUUGGUGCGAGACCGAUAGCGAACAAGUACCGUGAGGGAAAGAUGAAAAGAACUUUGAAAAGAGAGUUAAAGAGUACCUGAAACUGCUGAAAGGGAACCGAAUCGUUUCCAGUGUCUAUAAUCCGUGGUAUAUUUCAUUGGCGAGUGUGUGCGUGCGUGUGCUGUGGCAGCGGCUUUUUUGGCUGCGCUCGGCGUGUGUGCUGUGUGUGCUUGCUGGUGCCCUGUGCUGCGGUGGGACGUCAAGGUCAGUUCGUAUGCUGCGGGAAAUGGCCGCCGAGGAGGUAGGGCUUACGCUUGCGUUUGUCUGUUAUAUCUUGGUGGACGAGUAGUCGCGGUUGGGACUGAGGUGCCUACAACGUGUUUUUGAGUGGGCCUGUGUCUCUGUGUGCGCCGUGUGCGGAUAGCUUGCUAUGCGUGUGUGGUUGUGUGUGGAUUGAUGUGGGUUUUAACUUGUUGCCGUUCGGGACGUUGACGAAAUGGAGCGAUUUGACCCGUCUUGAAACACGGACCAAGGAGUCUAACAUGUGUGCAAGUGUUAGGGUGUGGAAACCCCAGCGCGAAAUGAAAGUGAAGGGCAGCGUAAGUUGUCUGAGGUAGGAAAUGCUGCGGGCUUCGGUCUGCGGUGUGGCACUAUCGACCGAUCAUGAACCUUCGUGGUGAAAGAUUUGAGUUUGAGCACAUAUGUUGGUACCCGAAAGAUGGUGAACUAUGCCUGAGUAGGGUGAAGCCAGGGGAAACUCUGGUGGAAGCUCGUAGCGAUUCUGACGUGCAAAUCGAUCGUCAAACUUGGGUAUAGGGGCGAAAGACUAAUCGAACCAUCUAGUAGCUGGUUCCCUCCGAAAUUUCCCUCAGGAUAGCAGCAACUUAUUUACGAUAGUUUUAUGAGGUAAAGCGAAUGAUUAGAGGAUUCGGGGAAGAAACUUCCUCGACCUAUUCUCAAACUUUAAAUCUGUAAGACCUGCAGGUUUCUUAAUUGAACUUGUGGAUGUGAAUAUCAAGUUGCUAGUGGGCCAUACGGGGUAAGCUCGUCUGGCGAUGCGGGAUGAACCGAACGCAAAGUUAAAGUGCCAAAAUGCUCGCUCACCUAGAUACCAUAAAAGGUGUUGGUUCAUUUAGACAGCAGGACGGUGGCCAUGGAAGUCGGAAUCCGCUAAGGAGUGUGUAACAACUCACCUGCCGAAUGAACUAGCCCUGAAAAUGGAUGGCGCUAAAGCGGGCUACUUAUACUUUGCCGUUAGCGCGAUAGCAUUUAUAAUGUACGCGUUAAUGAGUAGGAGGGCGUGAAGGUCGUGAAGAAGCUCGUGGCGUGAGCCUGAGUGAAACGGCCUUUAGUGCAGAUCUUGGUGGUAGUAGCAAAUAUUCAAAUGCGAACUUUGAAGACUGAAGUGGAGAAAGGUUCCGUGUGAUCAGUAAUUGGACACGGGUGAGUCGAUCUUAAGAGAUUUGUAUAAUUCCGUUUGAAAGCUGGGCUGUUUGAG
This 1920-nucleotide ribosomal RNA is filed under the name Phytophthora infestans T30-4. Its description in RNAcentral is "28S ribosomal RNA". It matches the Rfam family "Eukaryotic large subunit ribosomal RNA", at positions 1 to 1588 of the family's 3401-position model. The record is from RNAcentral. Lineage: Eukaryota; Oomycota; Peronosporomycetes; Peronosporales; Peronosporaceae.